This 404-nucleotide ribosomal RNA is filed under the name Actinomycetes bacterium. RNAcentral describes it as "Actinobacteria bacterium partial 16S ribosomal RNA". It matches the Rfam family "Bacterial small subunit ribosomal RNA", at positions 355 to 776 of the family's 1533-position model. The record is from RNAcentral. Lineage: Bacteria; Bacillati; Actinomycetota; Actinomycetes.
UGGGGAAUAUUGGACAAUGGGCGCAAGCCUGAUCCAGCCAUGCCGCGUGAGUGAUGAAGGCCCUAGGGUUGUAAAGCUCUUUCACCGGUGAAGAUAAUGACUGUAACCGGAGAAGAAGCCCCGGCUAACUUCGUGCCAGCAGCCGCGGUAAUACGAAGGGGGCUAGCGUUGUUCGGAUUUACUGGGCGUAAAGCGCACGUAGGCGGACUUUUAAGUCAGGGGUGAAAUCCCGGGGCUCAACCCCGGAACUGCCUUUGAUACUGGAAGUCUUGAGUAUGGUAGAGGUGAGUGGAAUUCCGAGUGUAGAGGUGAAAUUCGUAGAUAUUCGGAGGAACACCAGUGGCGAAGGCGGCUCACUGGACCAUUACUGACGCUGAGGUGCGAAAGCGUGGGGAGCAAACAGG